Molecule: non-coding RNA, 74 nt
Organism: Myotis brandtii (Brandt's bat)
Lineage: Eukaryota; Metazoa; Chordata; Mammalia; Chiroptera; Vespertilionidae
Source: Rfam
CUUGGGGAGGGGGGGUCCCUCAGUCUGGAUUGUGAGAGGGUGCAGGCCAGGCCAAGGGACCCCACCAGUGCACA